GUAUUGGUAGUUCAGUGGUAGAAUUCUCACCUUCCAUGCAGGAGACCAGGAUUUGAUUUCCAACCAAUGCA
RNAcentral lists this transfer RNA (71 nucleotides) under Loxodonta africana (African savanna elephant). It matches the Rfam family "tRNA". From Rfam's summary of the family: Transfer RNA (tRNA) molecules are approximately 80 nucleotides in length. Their secondary structure includes four short double-helical elements and three loops (D, anti-codon, and T loops). Further hydrogen bonds mediate the characteristic L-shaped molecular structure. tRNAs have two regions of fundamental functional importance: the anti-codon, which is responsible for specific mRNA codon recognition, and the 3' end, to which the tRNAs corresponding amino acid is attached (by aminoacyl-tRNA synthetases). tRNAs cope with the degeneracy of the genetic code in two manners: having more than one tRNA (with a specific anti-codon) for a particular amino acid; and 'wobble' base-pairing, i.e. permitting non-standard base-pairing at the 3rd anti-codon position. Lineage: Eukaryota; Metazoa; Chordata; Mammalia; Proboscidea; Elephantidae. The record is from Rfam by way of RNAcentral.